This 200-nucleotide long non-coding RNA is filed under the name Elaeis guineensis (African oil palm). Its description in RNAcentral is "long non-coding RNA (EGUI_LNC053082)". The record is from RNAcentral. Lineage: Eukaryota; Viridiplantae; Streptophyta; Magnoliopsida; Arecales; Arecaceae.
UCUCAAUCCGAGUGGGACUCUCCUCCAGAAUCUCAGUCCCAGUAGGACUCCUCACAUAGUCACAAUCCAAUUGGACUCUUUAGCCAUCAGAUCUGACCAAAUCUUCUAAUGCGUGUGACCUCAUAGGUUUGAACUUAAGUCAGUAGCAUAGGAAUAACUUUCUAUACCAAUUUAUGUAACCAUCUAGCAAUCAUGACCCA